ACCUGGCUGGCUCAGUUGGUGGAGCAUGGGACUCUUGAUCUCAAGGUCAUGUGUUCAAGCCCCAUGUUGGGCA
Molecule: transfer RNA, 73 nt
Filed under: Felis catus (domestic cat)
Lineage: Eukaryota; Metazoa; Chordata; Mammalia; Carnivora; Felidae
Also listed under: 4 other names
Rfam family: tRNA
About the family: Transfer RNA (tRNA) molecules are approximately 80 nucleotides in length. Their secondary structure includes four short double-helical elements and three loops (D, anti-codon, and T loops).
Source: Rfam by way of RNAcentral